UAAAUUGAGUGGGUAAAGGUUUGCACACAGAACUCACUAGCAACAGUGUAUUGGGAGAAUUGAUUAUGUGGCAAACAAGCAGCUUCUCAGGCGAGUUGCUUUGGGCGGGCGGUAAGGGAACUACAAAGUUCCUCACAGGAUGGGAUCGCAGCAAGAAAGGAAAGCAAGUGAAGUGAGAAAGCUGGAGGUAGAGGAUUCCAGGACCUUCAGGGUAAUGGGGCUAAAGUGAGCAGCAAAACAGAGAGGACGGGGGGAUUGUGAGCUGGGGUGAAGGGCAGCAGUGCUGGAAGUUUGGUCAGGCAAGAAGCUGGCUGUGGGGGAAAGAUGAUGGAUUCACAGUUGGAUGUCAGGUGUGAUAUCAAUAUAUGUCUUAUAUUCACUCACUGGACAGUAGCUGUAUUCUUAAUAACAGCUGUGAAGGCAAAUGAAGAAAUGAUGUAGAGGAAGAAGAGAGGGCACAGACGUCUGCGGUUGCUUGACACAAAACCUGCUUAGAUCAACAUCUCAACAAACUGAGCUAUGGUUAGCCCAAAGGCAGUCCCUGGAAUCUCCAGUGUGCAAAACAAGGGCAUGGAGCAGAAAAACCACCAGAGUGCUGUGCUCUUAGUGAUUGACUGCAGCUCAAAAAUAAUGGGCAGUCCUUUUCCCUGAGUCUACUUCUCCGGUGUGGCUGACAUGAAAGAAGUUCCAGCAGUAGCCACAGGCCAUGUCUAGGAAUGGUUCUUGCCAGGUAUCCUAAAGGGAAAGGUCUGCUCUAUUUUGCAAGUCCAUUCUUCUUUCUUAGAUCUAGCAAAUCCAAGCCUGGAGACCAGAGGUGUGCAGCUGUCACCUCCGCCUCACCACAAAACCUGGAUGCUACUCCUGUUCACCAGAGUAAGAAGAUAUAUCUCCUUCAACACUCCCACACAUUACCUAAAUCUCAGGCCAAGUGCUUUUAUUUUCAGUAUAAUUGAUCUUUAUUUCCUUCAGGAAAAACAUAUGCCCCAGCCUCUUUGGAGCGACUUACCUCUUUGUCUUGUCACCGGCUACCUUAGGAUGGGUUGAUUUGGGGAAGUUUAUAUGACUUGGUAUUAUCUAAUCCCUUCGUUAAAAUUCUAUAGAUUAAUUGUAUACAACAAUUAUCUGUAGGUCAGCUUGAAUGACCUGGUGGGUAUGUUCCCUCUCUUUCAACCUUGCCACUGACCACUAAUUCAUCUUUAACAUGUGACUGUGAGGCAACAUAAGGAGAAAUGACAUGUAAGCUGUCAGAGCGGCAGAUCUGUGUCCUCACAUCUUUCAAUCAGAAUGCCUUUGCCGAUGAGGAAAUGAGCAACUUCUCGGAGUGGGAGAACAGCUUGGGAAGAUGCUAAGCAAGGUCCCCAAGGUAUGUUGCUGGGAUAUAACCUGGCAGGAAGGAGAUUAUAUCAGCAUACAGAUCUAGACUACAGUCCACCAUUGUGGAGAAGUCAAGGCAGAAACAUCAAACGGAUUUCUGCAUGAGGCCAUAAGUUCUACUAGAGAAGAAAAGCUUUCCGUGAAGCCCAGUGAUCUCCGUCCUGCAGCAGGGCUUUGGAAAUGUCGCAUACAAUUUUCACAAAAACUAUACCUCAUCCAGAGUGGCAUAGCUCUUAGGAAGCCAUGAGUCCUUUUCAUCGGCUGCUUUGUGAAGAACUCAUCCAUUACAGUCAUAGCCAAGAAGGGAAGUCUAGUGCCACCUACUGCAAGCAAGACAAACUGUAUUCUUUAUAUAAGAAGCCUUGACCCGUGUUUCUGACUCCACACCGAAUACCUAAGAAGAAGGAAAGAAAGAAGAAAAGGCCCUUUCCUCCUGACAGGUUUAGUUCCAGGCCCCAAAGAGCACCCUAUAUAGAAAUCAGCAUGCUCCUGCAUCAAGCUCGCAGCUAGGCAGCUGCUGAGAGGGGGCCUGUUGCUCUGGCAGACAAAGGCAGAGGAGAAACAAAUGCUGGUAUGCCUUGCCUCAGAAGCUCCUGCUAGGACCACACUGCUUCUCAGCUGACACACCUGUACAGCAUGCACAGAAUCCCAGGCAAAGUAAACAAAUGAUCAUGAAAGGCACCACUAAGUCAAGACAGACCAGAUGUUGGCAUUGUUUUUAGAUAACCCUAAAGAUUCUAGCAUUAAUAAGUCACACCACCCAGAUAACAUAGCUUUCAUUGUUUUUUGGUUUUGUUUUGUUUUGUUUUCCUUUCUUUUUAUGAAGACAGAUUAAAGGAAGAGAAGUCAACUACAGGAAACGUCAUCAUGAAUUAUGAAGCCUGAAGGCUCUGAUUCAAAGGAAAAUGCCCUUUCACAGUUGACCAGAACCUGCAGGAACACAUGCUCUCUGUCUGCCUUCUGUAUCUGCAAUGGAAGAGGUGGAUUCCACAGCAGGUGAAACACAGCAUUUAUAUUGCCUAUUACAGAGUGUCUUAGUUAGGCCUUCUAUUGCUGUGAAGGGAAGGGAAGGGUUUAUUUGACUCACACUUCCUCAGCACUAUUCGUCAGUGAAGGAAGUCGGGACAGGGACUCAAACAGGGCAGGCUUUUGCAGGCAGUAGUGGAUGCAGAAUCCAUGAAGGAGUGCUGCUUACAGGCUUGCUUCCUCUGGCUCCCCGUGGCUUCCUCAGCCUGUGCUUUUAUAGAAUUUAGGACCACGAAUUCAGAGAUGGCCCUACGCACAAUGGUCUGGGCCCUCCUCCAUCAAUCUCUAAUUAAGGAAAUGCCCUACGGCAGGAUCUUAUGGAGGCAUUUUCUCAAUUGAAGUUGCCUUUUUCUGUCAGAUAACUCUAGCCUGUGUCAAGUUGACAUGAAACUAGCCAGUGCACAGAGCAAAACUCUCUGGAGGGUAUUUCCUUUUUCUUACACAGUAUUAUUAUACCAGAAAAGCAGUUUUGUGGGUUGUUUUAUAUUUUUUUAUUUUAAAAUUUAACUAUGAUAUAACUACAUUACUUCUGGCUUCCUGUUACUCCUUGGAGAUCCUCCCAUGUCCCCCUUCUUACGGUCACCCCCAUGUCUCCCUUAUUCCAAACUCUUCCCUGUGCUCCUUAACUCCUUUUCAGAUUAACGGCAUUUUUCACUAUAAAUACAACCUGCUGAUUCUGUUUAGUGUAGCUUGUGCAUAUAAGAUUUUAGGACUGGCUACUUUGUCUUGGGUAACCAGCUAGGGGGCUCAUCUCUGGGAGAGACAAGCUCUUCUUCUUUCAGCCUGGAGUUCUUUGUCUAAGGGUGGAACCCCAUGAGGUUUGUCCUGUCUUGUUAGCAUAUAGAUUGCUAUUGUCAUUGUUGGGUCUUCCUUGAGAUACCAUGGGUGCUAUUCUUAUUAAGUCAAAUAUCAAAGUAUGUCACUGUGAUGGAACAGAACUUGGUUUAUAAGAAACUUGAAAAUCUAGUCACAACACACAUGAAAGAUGAAAGAAUUGAAUAAAUAUAAGUUUAAAGUCCUUGUUCUUCCCAGUGACCCUCCAUAUCAGGAGUUGUGGGCUCCCAAGAUAAAGCAGGACAAUAGUGGGUUCCUUGGAACUAUCUCUAACUUAGAUCAUUGAACCUUAGUACGCUUGAAUCUUCUAUUAAUUUUGGACAUUAAACUAGAGAUCUACUGACAAACUCUUCCUAGGCCUGGAUCCUAAGAAAAACACCCCACAGUUUCCUCUUUUGUUUUGUUUUUCAUACUUUUCAAUUUAGAUACUCAUUGUCAAGUCAAUAAGGGCAACUUACUACAAUUUCAUUGCCUGAGGAAAAUAACUAUUAAAAUGUUGCAUUUUAACAAAA
This is a long non-coding RNA of Rattus norvegicus (Norway rat), 3746 nucleotides long. RefSeq lists it as uncharacterized. The record is from RefSeq and is a predicted model, not a curated record. NCBI's taxonomy places the organism in Eukaryota, Metazoa, Chordata, Mammalia, Rodentia, Muridae.